GACGAGCCACACAAACGUUAUUCGGAAUUAUUGGGCGUAAAGCGCACGUAGGCGGCUUUGCAAGUCGGAUGUGAAAUCCCUCGGCUCAACCAAGGAAGUGCAUCCGAAACUGCAGAGCUUGAGUACCAAAGAGGAUCGCGGAAUUCCCGGUGUAGAGGUGAAAUUCGUAGAUAUCGGGAGGAACACCGGUGGCGAAGGCGGCGACCUGGGUAGAUACUGACGCUGAGGUGCGAAAGCGUGGGGAGCAAACAGG
Molecule: ribosomal RNA, 253 nt
Filed under: uncultured bacterium
Lineage: Bacteria
Description: partial 16S ribosomal RNA
Rfam family: Bacterial small subunit ribosomal RNA
Source: RNAcentral